RNAcentral lists this long non-coding RNA (304 nucleotides) under Setaria viridis. RNAcentral describes it as "long non-coding RNA (SVIR_LNC002948)". Lineage: Eukaryota; Viridiplantae; Streptophyta; Magnoliopsida; Poales; Poaceae. The record is from RNAcentral.
AAAGUUUUAAAGUACGUACGCUCACAUGAAUCACGCUUACACACAUGCACCAACAUUUUAAUCCGAACCUAAUGGCAUCAAUUUGUAUCACAAAAGUUAUAAGGAAUGAAAUGAACCUUAUUACAUAAAUAAAUAAAAGCUGAGGACACAUGUGAUAGGAUUCUGGGAACUUUUUGUGCGUUCCCUAUAUUCUUAUCUUAAAUAAUGACAUUUUCAGCAAGAGUUUCGCGUGUUUCCAAUCUUGUCGUUUUUUCACAUGCAUCGAUCAUUCGUGUCGGAUUCUUGCGUUUCACAUAUACUCCCU